CCUACGGGCGGCUGCAGUCGAGAAUCAUUCACAAUGGGGGAAACCCUGAUGGUGCGACGCCGCGUGGGGGAAUGAAGGUCUUCGGAUUGUAAACCCCUGUCAUGUGGGAGCAAAUUAAAAAGAUAGUACCACAAGAGGAAGAGACGGCUAACUCUGUGCCAGCAGCCGCGGUAAUACAGAGGUCUCACGCGUUGUUCGGAAUCACUGGGCGUAAAGCGUGCGUAGGCUGUUUCGUAAGUCGUGUGUGAAAGGCGCGGACUCAACCCGCGGACGGCACAUGAUACUGCGAGACUAGAGUAAUGGAGGGGGAACCGGAAUUCUCGGUGUAGCAGUGAAAUGCGUAGAUAUCGAGAGGAACACUCGUGGCGAAGGCGGGUUCCUGGACAUUAACUGACGCUGAGGCACGAAGGCCAGGGGAGCGAAAGGGAUUAGAUACCCGGGUAGUC
Molecule: ribosomal RNA, 446 nt
Filed under: uncultured bacterium
Lineage: Bacteria
Description: partial 16S ribosomal RNA
Rfam family: Bacterial small subunit ribosomal RNA
Source: RNAcentral